Mycena leptocephala is the source of this 90-nucleotide non-coding RNA. The record is from the annotation of a GenBank genome assembly. NCBI's taxonomy places the organism in Eukaryota, Fungi, Basidiomycota, Agaricomycetes, Agaricales, Mycenaceae.
GCGGAUGUGGUGCAUGGUGCACCGCUGCUCUGUAUAGGCAGACCACCACAAACUUAAGCAGCAAUCGGGGUUCGACUCCCUGCCUCCGCA